GGAGAGAUCGCAUAGUGGCCUAGUGCGCACGCUUGGAAAGCGUGUAUACCGCAAGGUAUCGGGGGUUCGAAUCCCCCUCUCUCCGCCA
This 88-nucleotide transfer RNA is filed under the name Candidatus Altimarinota bacterium. RNAcentral describes it as "tRNA-Ser". It matches the Rfam family "tRNA". From Rfam's summary of the family: Transfer RNA (tRNA) molecules are approximately 80 nucleotides in length. Their secondary structure includes four short double-helical elements and three loops (D, anti-codon, and T loops). The record is from RNAcentral. Lineage: Bacteria; Candidatus Altimarinota.